AAUAGAAUAGGUAAGCAUGAUGAUGGAGCCGGUUGCCAGCUGGCUACUGCUGCAACCACCUCCUCCUCGGACCGCGACGCUCUUGUGGGCAUCGGGGGGCAGCGGAGGCGAAGCGUUGUAGGCAUCGGGGAACAGCUGAGGCAAGGCGUGGAGGUUGUUCUUGAGGAAAUCCAUGAGCUUGUCUGGAUUCUUCAUCGGAACUCUGGCCUCAAGCUUCACAAGCUGAGCCAUCGUUUGGAUGUCAAAGCUUGAAAGUAGUAUGUGUGAGGC
This 270-nucleotide long non-coding RNA is filed under the name Linum usitatissimum (flax). Its description in RNAcentral is "long non-coding RNA (LUSI_LNC003231)". The record is from RNAcentral. Lineage: Eukaryota; Viridiplantae; Streptophyta; Magnoliopsida; Malpighiales; Linaceae.